Molecule: ribosomal RNA, 253 nt
Filed under: uncultured bacterium
Lineage: Bacteria
Description: partial 16S ribosomal RNA
Rfam family: Bacterial small subunit ribosomal RNA
Source: RNAcentral
UACGGAGGGAGCUAGCGUUGUUCGGAAUUACUGGGCGUAAAGCGCACGUAGGCGGCUAUUCAAGUCGGGGGUGAAAGCCCGGGGCUCAACCCCGGAACUGCCCUCGAAACUAGGUAGCUAGAAUCUUGGAGAGGCGAGUGGAAUUCCGAGUGUAGAGGUGAAAUGCGUAGAUAUCGGGAGGAACACCAGUGGCGAAGGCGGAGACCUGGGCCGAUACUGACGCUGAGAUGCGAAAGCGUGGGGAGCAAACAGG